GAUGAGAGUGGCGCACGGGUGCGUAACGCGUGAGCAACCUACCCAUAUCAGGGGGAUAGCCUCUCGAAAGAGAGAUUAACACCGCAUAACAUCAUUAACCGGCAUCGGAUUAUGAUCAAAUAUUUAUAGGAUAUGGAUGGGCUCGCGUGACAUUAGCUAGUUGGAGGGGUAACGGCCCACCAAGGCUACGAUGUCUAGGGGCUCUGAGAGGAGAAUCCCCCACACUGGUACUGAGACACGGACCAGACUCCUACGGGAGGCAGCAGUAAGGAAUAUUGGUCAAUGGAGGGAACUCUGAACCAGCCAUGCCGCGUGCAGGAUGACUGCCCUAUGGGUUGUAAACUGCUUUUGUCAGGGAAUAAACCUUUCCACGUGUGGGAAGCUGAAUGUACCUGAAGAAUAAGGAUCGGCUAACUCCGUGCCAGCAGCCGCGGUAAUACGGAGGAUCCAAGCGUUAUCCGGAUUUAUUGGGUUUAAAGGGUGCGUAGGCGGUCCUAUAAGUCAGUGGUGAAAGACGGCAGCUUAACUGUCGCAGUGCCUUUGAUACUGUAGGACUUGAAUCUAUUUGAAGUGGGCGGAAUAAGACAAGUAGCGGUGAAAUGCAUAGAUAUGUCUUAGAACUCCGAUUGCGAAGGCAGCUCACUAAGUUAGUAUUGACGCUGAUGCACGAAAGCGUGGGGAUCAAACAGGAUUAGAUACCCUGGUAGUCCACGCCCUAAACGAUGAUAACUCGAUGUUUGCGAUACACAGUAAGCGUCCAAGCGAAAGCGUUAAGUUAUCCACCUGGGGAGUACGGUCGCAAGAUUGAAACUCAAAGGAAUUGACGGGGGCCCGCACAAGCGGAGGAGCAUGUGGUUUAAUUCGAUGAUACGCGAGGAACCUUACCCGGGCUUGAAAGUUAGUGAAUGAUCCAGAGACGGAUCAGUCCUUCGGGACACGAAACUAGGUGCUGCAUGGCUGUCGUCAGCUCGUGCCGUGAGGUGUUGGGUUAAGUCCCGCAACGAGCGCAACCCCUAUGUUUAGUUGCCAGCAUGUAAUGAUGGGGACUCUAAACAGACUGCCAGCGUAAGCUGUGAGGAAGGUGGGGACGACGUCAAGUCAUCAUGGCCCUUACGUCCGGGGCUACACACGUGCUACAAUGGAUGGUACAGCGGGCAGCUACAUAGCAAUAUGGUGCUAAUCUCUAAAAGCCAUUCACAGUUCGGAUUGAGGUCUGCAACUCGACCUCAUGAAGUUGGAUUCGCUAGUAAUCGCGUAUCAGCAAUGACGCGGUGAAUACGUUCCCGGGCCUUGUACACACCGCCCGUCAAGC
Molecule: ribosomal RNA, 1312 nt
Filed under: Sphingobacterium faecium
Lineage: Bacteria; Pseudomonadati; Bacteroidota; Sphingobacteriia; Sphingobacteriales; Sphingobacteriaceae
Description: bacterial SSU rRNA
Rfam family: Bacterial small subunit ribosomal RNA
Source: RNAcentral